This 481-nucleotide ribosomal RNA is filed under the name uncultured bacterium. Its description in RNAcentral is "bacterial SSU rRNA". It matches the Rfam family "Bacterial small subunit ribosomal RNA", at positions 405 to 896 of the family's 1533-position model. The record is from RNAcentral.
GGGACGAAGGCCUUCGGGUUGUAAACCUCUUUCGGCAGGGACGAAGCGAAAGUGACGGUACCUGAAGAAGAAGCGCCGGCCAACUACGUGCCAGCAGCCGCGGUAAGACGUAGGGCGCAAGCGUUGUCCGGAUUUAUUGGGCGUAAAGAGCUCGUAGGCGGCUUGUCGCGUCGACUGUGAAAACCCACGGCUCAACCGCGGGACUGCAGUCGAUACGGGCAGGCUAGAGUUCGGUAGGGGAGACUGGAAUUCCUGGUGUAGCGGUGAAAUGCGCAGAUAUCAGGAGGAACACCGGUGGCGAAGGCGGGUCUCUGGGCCGAAACUGACGCUGAGGAGCGAAAGCGUGGGGAGCGAACAGGAUUAGAUACCCUGGUAGUCCACGCUGUAAACGUUGGGCGCUAGGUGUGGGGGGCCUCUCCGGUCCUCUGUGCCGCAGCUAACGCAUUAAGCGCCCCGCCUGGGGAGUACGGCCGCAAGGCUA